Molecule: long non-coding RNA, 1037 nt
Organism: Cyprinus carpio (common carp)
Lineage: Eukaryota; Metazoa; Chordata; Actinopteri; Cypriniformes; Cyprinidae
Source: Ensembl
NCAGAUGCGGGUAAUAGCAUUCGCCAGUAGGGGACUGACAAAGAGUGAAGCGAGAUACCCCGCACAUAAGCUUGAAUUUUUGGCGUUAAAGUGGGCUGUCACAGUCAAAUUCAGCGACUAUUUGUAUGGUGUAGAUUUCACAGUUGUAACCGACAGUAAUCCCCUGACGUAUGUUUUGACUUCUGCAAAGCUUGACGCUACCAGUUACCGCUGGUUGUCUAGUUUGUCGACAUACACUUUUAAGCUCCAAUACAGAGCUGGGAGUCAAAACCAGGACGCGGACGGGCUUUCCCGGCGUCCGCAUGGUGAGCCUUUGGAUGAUCUCGUCUCUCAGAAAGAAAGAGAGAGGAUCAAGCAGUUUACCCUCCACCACCUGGCGGAGCCUGAAACUGGGUCUGAGGUUCUCAUGGCGGAUGUGGUUAAUGCCAUUUGUGAGAGGCAUCAGGUGAUUGGUUUGCCCGAAAGCCCUGACUUGGCACACACUCCAGUUACGUUGGUCGAGUCCCUCACUCAUAGCGUUGAUGCUUUGCCGAAUGAAUUUCAACACGAGGUUGAGCAUGGUCUUCCUGAUCUCUCUAACAUCUCAGAGGCCACGUUAGCAGAAUGGCAAGGGAAAGAUCCAGAGCUUGAGGUUGUAAUGGAAUGGAUGAAGAAUGGGACUAGGCCAGGUACCCUGAGGGGUCAACCCCCUGAUAUGGUAUUGUGGUUGAGGGAGUGGAGUCGUCUUGAACUGAGGAAUGGGGUGCUGUAUAGGAGGAAGCAAGAACAAGGGGCUCUUCAUUAUCAGUUAGUGCUACCAGCCAGGCUAAGGGAGAUAGUGUUGCGCAGCCUCCACGAUGACAUGGGGCACUUGGGUAUUGAGAGGACCCUGGACUUAGUGAGGUCCAGGUUCUUCUGGCCUAAAAUGUCCCAAACAGUUGAAAAAAAGAUCAAAACCUGUGAACGCUGCGUGCGCAGGAAAACGCCUCCAGACAGAGCCGCUCCUCUGGUCAAUAUUCAAACCAGUAGGCCUUUGGAGUUGGUCUGUAUGGACUUUU